AAAGGUAAAGUAUAAAAUUUUACAUUUCAGUUACAUUGAAAAAAUCCAAAUAUUAGGUACCUUUA
Molecule: transfer RNA, 65 nt
Filed under: Phyllidiopsis krempfi
Lineage: Eukaryota; Metazoa; Mollusca; Gastropoda; Nudibranchia; Phyllidiidae
Description: tRNA-Val
Source: RNAcentral